Molecule: small nuclear RNA, 130 nt
Filed under: Zalophus californianus (California sea lion)
Lineage: Eukaryota; Metazoa; Chordata; Mammalia; Carnivora; Otariidae
Description: U4 spliceosomal RNA (ENSZCAG00015019779.1)
Rfam family: U4 spliceosomal RNA
About the family: U4 small nuclear RNA (U4 snRNA) is a component of the major U2-dependent spliceosome. The structure of U4 snRNA from yeast and human has been reported.
Source: RNAcentral
AGCUUUGUGCAGUGGCAGUAUUGUAGCCAAUGAGGUUUAUCCGAGGCGCGACUAUUGCUAAUUGAAAACUUUUCCCAUAUAACUUCCAUCAGCAAAUCCUGUUGGUUCUACCUUCAUUAAAUAUCCAGAA